RNAcentral lists this ribosomal RNA (253 nucleotides) under uncultured bacterium. RNAcentral describes it as "partial 16S ribosomal RNA". It matches the Rfam family "Bacterial small subunit ribosomal RNA", at positions 524 to 776 of the family's 1533-position model. The record is from RNAcentral.
UACGUAGGGUGCAAGCGUUAAUCGGAAUUACUGGGCGUAAAGCGUGCGCAGGCGGUUGUGCAAGACAGAUGUGAAAUCCCCGGGCUCAACCUGGGAACUGCAUUUGUGACUGCACGGCUAGAGUGUGUCAGAGGGGGGUAGAAUUCCACGUGUAGCAGUGAAAUGCGUAGAUAUGUGGAGGAAUACCGAUGGCGAAGGCAGCCCCCUGGGAUGACACUGACGCUCAUGCACGAAAGCGUGGGGAGCAAACAGG